GACGAACGCUGGCGGCGUGCCUAAUACAUGCAAGUAGAACGCACAGUUUAUACCGUUGCUUGCUACACCAUAGACUGUGAGUUGCGAACGGGUGAGUAACGCGUAGGUAACCUGCCUGGUAGCGGGGGAUAACUAUUGGAAACGAUAGCUAAUACCGCAUAAUAUUCAUUAUUGCAUGAUAAUUGAUUGAAAGAUGCAACUGCAUCACUACCAGAUGGACCUGCUUUGUAUUAGCUAGUAGGUGAGGUAACGGCUCAACUAGGGGACGAUACAUAGCCGACCUUGGGGGGUGGACGGCCCAACUGGGAAUGGGACACGGCCCAGAAUCCUUAGGGGGGGCGCAAGAAGGGAACUUUCGGAAUGGAGGAAAGUCUGGACGAGCAAAGCCGCGGGAGGGAAGAAGGGUUUCGGGUCGGAAAGAUCUGUUGUAAGGGAAGAAAGGAUGUGGGAGUGGAAAGUUCACAUUGUGACGGUAUCUAACCAGAAAGGGACGGCUAACUACGUG
This 505-nucleotide ribosomal RNA is filed under the name uncultured bacterium. RNAcentral describes it as "partial 16S ribosomal RNA". It matches the Rfam family "Bacterial small subunit ribosomal RNA", at positions 28 to 507 of the family's 1533-position model. The record is from RNAcentral.